This 6654-nucleotide long non-coding RNA is filed under the name Androctonus crassicauda. Lineage: Eukaryota; Metazoa; Arthropoda; Arachnida; Scorpiones; Buthidae. The record is from RNAcentral.
CUACCGUCAGGCUGGGAAAUGGCCAAAACGAGUUCCGGACAGAGAUACUUCCUCAAGUAAGUACUGUAUAUCAAACUUAAGUCGAGCGCCAACCCGAUAUCAAUCGACGUCGUCCAAACGCGGAUCGUUUACUUCCUCCAACUGCGUCAGUGCGCGACUGGGUGUCCAACUAAAACAUGUCAAAAGCUAAACGGCAGCUUAAGUUACCAGUUUUGGAAUAAUAAUAUCAACACUUAUCUGCGAACUAUUUAACACUAAGAACGAGAAAAGAUUUAGGUUUCAGAAAUUUGAAUAGGCCUACAGAUGGCCGAUGCAAGAAAGUUUUACGGUUAUACACCGUAGCAGUUUAUAACUUUUUAUUUUCGAUUGUUGAACAUCUUUCACCAACUUCGUAGCCGAGUGUUUCACUUAUUUUUAAAGAUUUUGUUGUUUGAAUCUUAGCGAUUUUACUGGUAAAGUUUUUAAGUUGAUUUUGAAGCCAGUUCAGUGGUAGCAACUGUAACUUUCUAGCUAAUAACUUUUUAAAUACAGUAAUUAUUUUUUUUAGUCUUGUGUUUGUAUAGCAUUUCAAGGUUCAUGUUUGAAAACAAGUGAGAGAUAAUAUCUGAUAUUUUGUCUUAAUAUGCCAACACAUCUGUAAUUCGGUUGUGUUUAAUUAAAAUCAAACUCCUUUUUAAAAAUGAUUAAACAUUAUAUUUUCACACCGGUUUCUUGUUGAAAAGUUCCGAUUAUCAUAUUGCCGAUAUAAAAUUAGGAUGAGAUAGGAUAUUAAUGAGUAUAUAGUAUAGAAUAUCAGAAUCUCUUCGUUCAUCAGUAGAUCCGAUAUGGCCGGGUAUUAGUGAUAAUUUACAACUUAUCUGCAGUUCUGUAAUACAAUUACGACAAAGGGAUAUAAUAUUUUUAUCAGUAAAGGAUAUUAACUCUUGAUUAAAAAAAAAAGAUUGUCUUGUACUGUAUACAAUAUUUUAAAUAUUGUAAGGCCUAUAACAUAUGUAUCCUGGUUUAUAAUUUUUAAACGUCAUCUAAGGUUUUUAGAUUCAAGGAAAUGAUAAUAUAUAGGCCUAUCUAAAUUCAGUAUGUUUUAUUAGUGGAUUUGUUUCACAAUUAUUCUUCGUCCGACGUCAUCCCGGUAAUAGUCUUUUAUUUCGAAGCCCAGCAGGGAUGUACACCUGUUUGGAGUAUGACUAGAGUAGUAAAGCAUGGUCCGAACCAUUAAAGAAUGAGUCAAAUGUAGAAAAAAGGUUGCUAACGUCAUCCAUCGGAAACACUGGCAAAACGUUUCCAAUAGUUAUAUCGGUACCUUUUCAGCGCAGAAAAAUAUACAGUACUGUAUUCUAGAUUAUUAUUAUUAUUAUUUGAAUCCCGGAGUCGGUAUAAGAAGUGUGCAAAAUGCCCCUGGCACUGGUUAGUGAUAAGUAGAUUUUGUCAACACUAGGCGAGUUUAUUUUUUAUCAUUUCGCUUUUUUAACUAUACUCCGGUCAUUAUUCGGCAGAAAAGUCGGGACCGAAUUUCCUUUUCGUCCCGUAUAUAUUUUUGUAACGCGUCCGAAAAUACUGGUCUCACCCUGAGGUAAAUCACCGUCCGUUUGGUUCCUUUUUCUUUUUCUCUGCAUCCAUCUAUUUUUAAGGCUGUAGCGCACGUGCACGGCUUUUGGCAAACCGUCCGGCCUGUCCCCGGGCAAACAAUACUACCGAAACUGUUAAUAAAUCUCAUUGGACGGGUUCUCUUCGCAGGUACACAACAGUUACGUGACCGAAGCGAAAGUUUAUAAAACAACACCUGCUUGCCCACCGCUUGCUUCCCCCAAGCAUUCAGGCGCUACCUUCGACCUUUCGGUCCCCGCGGCUUCCAUUGACCUCCUUCCUUUGUCUGGCUCGUUAUCCUCCGCCCUAACUCCGGCUCCCAGACCUUUCAAGGACUCCGGACCGUCGCAUUACCCAGCACUGGUGGGGUGAGGUCGGAGGGGCAACCGGCUCGUCGCCUUUUUACUCGUACGGUCGGUCGGCUUUCUGUUUAUUGCAAUCGUCAGUUUUACGAUCGAAAUCGGAGUCGAGUCUCUGCGUCUUUACCCAAAGGCGCCGAGGAUCAGGGAUCAGAUUCCGGACCCACAUUGUUUCGUCGUCUUCUGGCGGGCCGCUACCUACCGCGGCCUUGCCACCUGCCGAUUGGGUACCCGAACCGACGACCUAGUGUAUUUAUAGCUCUGAAUGAUUUGCCCCAUAUUUUUUUAAAAAGCUAUGUUCCGGGAAAACGGCGCCGAUAUUUAGGAAAGCCGAACCGGAAUUUUAUUUUUUGGCACUGGUUGGAUGAAAGAAUAUAGUUACGAUACGCGGGACUAUUCCGUAUUUUUCCUUGGUGCGUCGAGUCACAGUUGUGGCGUGGGCCCUUCACGGGUUCCCUCGGGUGUUAGAAUAGUCGUGACGUCACCGAUUCGUGACUAAACUCGUAUUCACGCAUCACCACGUGUUCGAACUUCGGGAACCGGUCGCCCCGCCGAGUAAUUACCCAUCUUCCUUCUAUACGCUUCUGCUGGCCGGAAUGAUCUUCUGGGUGUAUUCCUACGGGUUUUGGUACAGUGGUGUAGGCUUGACCGUAAUAUCUUAUCAUUUCCCCUUCCCUCGUUAUUAGAACUCGUUAUAUGGUCGGAUGGGUCGUGGUUCAAAUGGAGUUCUUUCUAGUCCCAAUCGGCACUUUGGUUAGGAUGUUUAGGUAAAAGUGGCCGACUCCUUCGUGUUAAAUUUAGCUCUCUAGUCGACUUCGUUCUAGCAUUCGGUGUCGUACUUGGUGACACAUCCAUUGUACAUUAGGCGAAACGACAGACAUUGGCAACCUACAAGGCCGACUGGCGCCUUCUCGCUCGCUAUCGCUCUAUAUAUAAACGGUCCUCAUUACAUCAGUCUGUACCGAUUCACCUAGUACACGUGCAAACUUUUUGUUCCAUGCCGAGAACUCGUUUUUGGUCGGGAAAUCCCCUGCUUUCACCCGGUCGGGGAGUCUUCCAUUGUGUGUAUGUGCUAUUCCUUCAAGGUUACCGCUGGCGGACGCCAUUAUCGACUUACUGUGUGGUCCCCGGAUCUAGCGUUUCUGAGAAAGAUCCCUCUCCUUCGAAUUUCUUAGCUUUCAAAUGUGACAGAACAGUUCGAUUGACGUCCUGCCACCUUUGUUUCCUUCCCCGACGGUCCGAGACGUGGGAAGUUGUAAAAUGUAUAAACAUGCUUUACGAUCGCUAUCCAAAAUUUUACUUCGGUUAUUUGCGGUAGGUAGAUGGCCAAGAUGAUGUGACCCUGGAUAUAUUUUAGGCGGAAUGGGUCCUUCCCGUGUUAAUGAAGUAUCCGCGCUUCGGCCCCGUUUUAUUUUUAGUUCUACGACUGUUUGUUGGUUACGGCUAUAUAUAGACGCAUGGAUCGUCUCUUUACUCCGUCGUUGCACGUCCGGAAGUGGGCGUUUGGAUGAACGAAACGAGAAAAGUCGAGACUCCUCCCUAUCUCUUCGUCAUCGACCUAUCUACCCUUUCAUUCAGUCGUCUCCAUUCAUUUCCCCAUUCUCGGACUAUACAGGAAAUAAUUAGACUGGCAUCCGACUCUUAAAACGCUCCAUGCAAAGCGGGAGGGGCUUGACAACUAACAUCCAAUUACCCAAAAGUCGUAAUGCACCAGCGCCGGUCCGAACGUAUCGGUAUGCGCCUAGUCCGCCCUCCAUUUUGAUUCGUUUGGAAUGCGAAUUCCGUCCGUUCCAGUUAGCUCGUCAACCUGACUGUUAGGGGAUCCACCAAUAAUCAGGAGUCCAAGGUCACAACCCACCGUCUAGACCGAGCAUUCCUCUUCUCUGUAUCCCGGCUGGCAGCGGGUUCCGAUUAAUAGAAUUGCUCUGACGACAAGUAACCCGGUGGUGGUAAUCCCCACUUUCUCUUUCGGCCCAUUUUCAGGUGCUUGAGUGUUUGUACGUAACGACGGCGCCCGAGGGUGAGAAAGAUAGAAGAGGAAAAAAAAGCCGUCUUCAGACAGGAUCAGCUUGGCCUAAAACCGGGGCACUGACCCUGGAUAGGCCAACGCUUCCGAUUGGUCGGUUACGUUGCCUGGCAACAUGACUUAGCUCGCGCCGAUACGCUGCUCGUCGAUUCGCUUUGGGUCACGUGCUUUCAGCCGACUUCCACUUUCGCCGGCGCGGCGGCUAAAAACUUUUCCAAUCGGCAGAUCACGUGAUGCAUUCCGGUGGGUUGAUUGUCAAUUUCCGCGCGUCGCCUCUCCAACGACUUCCUUCCCAGCAGCUGUCAGAAUCGGACAUCCCGUUUGAUCCCACCCCGGCACAUAAUAACGGAGAAGGAAUUCAUGUUGUCCCGUUUUCCGCCGGGAAACACAGUUUUUCGCCUCGCUACUCUUUUGUGCAAAGCGCUUUUUAAAAAAAAUAUAUUUUUUAUUUUCUAGUUGGUGAAGUUUCCGACGUGUGGAGAUCGAACUCCCGGUUGUUGCACCUCGUCGUGCCUCAGGAGACGAUGGCGGAAACAAUAGCGUCCUCCUCGACCUCUUGCGUCAUUUGACACACUUAAGUUGUCAUGAUGUAACGUUCCGCGCGCUCGUCGUAGUUUUCUUAAAGCGGUGUUUGUUUAUCGUAACAUAAGAGGAAAAAAGAUGUCCGGUUUCUUAUCUUCCCUCUACCUGCCACAGGUUGCACGUGAGUCAGCAACACCUGCCAUGAAAAGCGCUCUCAUUCGAUAACGUCAUUGCCGAGCGUGGGAGGACGACCGGAAAUUUCCUUCCCAUUUCCGGCGAUUGCGGUUUGCAACUUGGCUGUAGCGGGGAAAGAGUCCGGCCACACCCAGAUCGGAUAACGGGCAGAUAAGCACUGACCAAGCUCUUAAACUGUGUCUCUGGGCUAUCAGGAAGUCCGUAAUUCGCGGAAACAGUGGGUGGGGUCGAACGCUCCUUUUUCUUUCUUCUUUUUUUUGGCUCUUCCACGGUAGGCUUGACCCGACCCCAAGUACCAAUCGAACGUCGGCACCGAACGCUAGACAAUGGUUAUCCGAACAUAAAAGAAUUCUAAGAAUAGCGGAGAACAUUCGGUUCGUGCGACGACAUCGGCAACGGCCAACAAUUCUUCGUCUACCUGUUUUGUUCCCGUGAACCCUUCCGGAUGACGUCACAGUAAAGUGUGCGAUUGUAAUGACGUCAAUGUUGAAUCUUUUGAGCCAGAAGUUUUUGUUCAUUGAGAUCCAGUCGUUGUAGUUGUCGUCUAUAACGACACAUUGGUUAGAUUUUUGGCAGUCUUUCGCUAUCGGACGUACCAAAACGAGUUUUCCGUACAGUGGGACGGACCGGGGAAAUAAAAUUUCACCCCGGAUGUUCUCCUUGACUACGUCCUUGUAGCUGCAGCAGUGCGUGAUGCGUGUCCGCAGACAUACACACAAAACACACCGCUACCGUCCUUACAGAAGAUUUGAAAGUUGGAAAUGAUGUAAUAAAUGGAGUAGUGUUAGUCAGUUUAUUGGUAUAUUUCACUACAACACGGCAGAGGUAAAAAUCGGAGGCCGUGCGUGGUAUUGUACCAAGUGGUGGCAGUCUCCCAGCGGUGACGUCACAGGCGGUCCUCGCGCGGGUCCUAGGCUAUAUAUAGUUGCUGCCUGACCUUUACUCGAGUACUUUUUCUGGGAAACGUCUCCAUCUCUCGAUCUUAUUUUCGUUGCUGAAAAUUAGUCGAAUCAUUGCUAUAAUCGCCUGUUUUUGUUUUUGGAAGAUUGAAAAAGUUUUCGCAUAUCAACGAUUGUUGCGAACAUAUGUUAAACAGUCAACUUGAUAAUUCAUAACGAUACGUCGCCAUUGAUUAAAAGACACAAAUACUUCUUUGUUUAUAAACAACAUUUACUCUGAUUAAAACAUAAAAUAUACAGUGGCACUGAAUACUAGGUUCUAUUCCAUUUCAGGACAGAACAGAAUUUAGUAAAGUGAAUUUUUAAUUGGGAAAUUAGUAAACACUAUGCUGAUAACUGUGAAGAAAACCUGUUUCUUUACUGUUAACAUGAGAUUUAAAUUUCUAGUGAUUACACUCCGAAUUUUAAAUAUCCUAAAAAGUUCAUUCCACAAGAAGUUCAGAACUGAUUAGAAUUACGUGAUUAAAGAGCUUUAGCCUAGUAGUUAUUAUUUAAUUUUUUAAUUUUAUAUAAGUCACAUAUAUUAUGAUAAGUUAUCUGUUAGUAUAAAAUUUAUAUAAUAGCACAUAAAUUAAUAAUUUUCGGUAAAGUUUUUUUAAGAUUGAAUACAAUUUUAUUUUUAAUAAACAAUUGUUAAUUUAUAAAACCAAAAAAGCUGAAAUAGAAAUUACCAAUAUAAUCUGCAGGAGUUAAUUUCCUGCCGGCUUCUGUAAUCAGGCUUUAGAAUAUAGAUCAAUACCAUUGCUACUUUUAAAAUAUGCCCAGUAGAAUUUAUAUGAUGAAAAUUUGAAUGGUAUUGAAAUUAAAUGAAUAUAUUAAAAUUAUUAAUUUCUGUAAGCAAAUUUUACAGUUAUAAAAUAUGUUUGUAUAAAUACCCAAAAUAUAAUGCCAGUUUUUGUUUAAAUAUUCUACAGUCUACAAAUGCUGUAUGCUGAAAUAUACCAAAUUAUGCCAAUAAAUCGUGAAAUAAUAUAAGCUGAACUUAUGCAUUUUUUUUAACUCUUCAGAU